GCUAACGCUGGCGGCGUGUCUUAGCCAUGCAAGUCGAGCGGACUUAUGGGGUAACUUAUAAGUCAGCGGCGGACGGCGGAGUAACACGUAGCUAACCUACCCUCUGGACGGGGAUAACCUACCGAAAGGUGGGCUAAUACCCGAUGUAGUCAUCCUGUAUAGGGGUGAUGAAAGGUGGGCUUCUGUUUACAAGCUCAUGCUGGAGGAGGGGGCUGCGGCCUAUCAGGUAGUUGGUAGGGUAAUAGCCUACCAAGCCGAUGACGGGUAGCCGGCCUGAGAGGGUGACCGGCCCGAGGGGCACUGAGAUACGGGUCCCACUCCUACGGGAGGCAGCAGGCUAGAAAUUUGGGCAAUGGGGGAAACCCUGACCCAGUGACGCCGCGUGCAGGAAGGAGCCCUUCGGGGUGUAAACUGCUGUCGUGUAGGGAGAAGGGUACUAAGGUGAACAAUCUUAGUACUUGACGGUACUACAGGAGGAAGCCCAGGCUAACCUCGUG
Molecule: ribosomal RNA, 497 nt
Filed under: uncultured bacterium
Lineage: Bacteria
Description: bacterial SSU rRNA
Rfam family: Bacterial small subunit ribosomal RNA
Source: RNAcentral